UUGAAUUUUGAAAGUACUCCAUGUUUACCGGGGUGGUCGACUCGAGAGACAUUCAAACACGUAGGGGAUCUUCCUCUCAGAGUUCGGGUUGUACUUCGAGCCGAUAUCGCCGCACGGAGCAAGAUGCCGUCAUCGAGAAUCUGCAAGAGGCGCUGAGGGCGCAAAACGAGUAUAACUUAUGGCAGCAAGAGUACCAGAGGCAGCAGCAAGAUUGGAUUGCUUCGGUGUUACAGCAGCAGCAUGGCCAUGGAAAUAUCUUGCCACCGCCACCACCACUGCCACCUCCGCCAGUGUUGCCUGAGUUAUAUCCUCUGAGACCUCCUGCAGCCGAGGGAUCAGGAGUAAAUGUGAGAGACAUCAGCCAAUCCCCUCCAGCACAAGUACGAA
Long non-coding RNA from Panicum virgatum (switchgrass), 387 nucleotides. RefSeq lists it as uncharacterized. The transcript has 3 exons. Lineage: Eukaryota; Viridiplantae; Streptophyta; Magnoliopsida; Poales; Poaceae. The record is from RefSeq and is a predicted model, not a curated record.